CCUCGCGCCGCCCGCCCGGCAGCCCGGCCGGCGCGCGCACGCCGCGAGCCGCUGGCGCUCGGGCUCCGCUCGGAUCCCAUGCAACAGCCAGGAUGUGAAGCGGGGCAGAGCCGGGGGAGCCCAGCCCAGCCAGCCUCCAGACGUUGCCCCAUCUGACGCUCGGCUCGAGGCCUCUCUGUGAGGGACCGGGGGGCCAUCCCCCUCCAGGGCGGAGAUCGGAGGUCACUGCCAAGCAUGGCGCCCACCUGGGGCCCUGGCAUGGUGUCUGUGGUUGGUCCCAUGGGCCUCCUUGUGGUCCUGCUCGUUGGAGGCUGUGCAGCAGAAGAGCCCCCCAGGUUUAUCAAAGAACCCAAGGACCAGAUCGGCGUGUCGGGGGGCGUGGCCUCUUUCGUGUGUCAGGCCACGGGUGACCCCAAGCCACGAGUGACCUGGAACAAGAAGGGCAAGAAGGUCAACUCUCAGCGCUUUGAGACGAUUGAGUUUGAUGAGAGUGCAGGGGCAGUGCUGAGGAUCCAGCCGCUGAGGACACCGCGGGAUGAAAACGUGUACGAGUGUGUGGCCCAGAACUCGGUUGGGGAGAUCACAGUCCAUGCCAAGCUCACUGUCCUCCGAGAGGACCAGCUGCCCUCUGGCUUCCCCAACAUCGACAUGGGCCCACAGUUGAAGGUGGUGGAGCGGACACGGACAGCCACCAUGCUCUGUGCAGCCAGCGGCAACCCUGACCCUGAGAUCACCUGGUUCAAGGACUUCCUGCCUGUGGAUCCUAGUGCCAGCAAUGGACGCAUCAAACAGCUGCGAUCAGGAGCCCUGCAGAUUGAAAGCAGUGAGGAAACCGACCAGGGCAAAUAUGAGUGUGUGGCCACCAACAGCGCCGGCGUGCGCUACUCCUCACCUGCCAACCUCUACGUGCGAGUCCGCCGCGUGGCCCCGCGCUUCUCCAUCCUGCCCAUGAGCCACGAGAUCAUGCCAGGGGGCAACGUGAACAUCACCUGCGUGGCCGUGGGCUCGCCCAUGCCAUACGUGAAGUGGAUGCAGGGGGCCGAGGACCUGACCCCCGAGGAUGACAUGCCCGUGGGUCGGAACGUGCUGGAACUCACAGACGUCAAGGACUCGGCCAACUACACCUGCGUGGCCAUGUCCAGCCUGGGCGUCAUCGAGGCGGUUGCUCAGAUCACGGUGAAAUCUCUCCCCAAAGCUCCCGGGACUCCCAUGGUGACUGAGAACACAGCCACCAGCAUCACCAUCACGUGGGACUCGGGCAACCCAGAUCCUGUGUCCUAUUACGUCAUCGAAUAUAAAUCCAAGAGCCAAGACGGGCCGUAUCAGAUUAAAGAGGACAUCACCACCACGCGUUACAGCAUCGGCGGCCUGAGCCCCAACUCGGAGUACGAGAUCUGGGUGUCGGCUGUCAACUCCAUCGGCCAGGGGCCCCCCAGCGAGUCAGUGGUCACCCGCACAGGCGAGCAGGCCCCGGCCAGCGCGCCGCGAAACGUGCAAGCCCGGAUGCUCAGCGCCACCACCAUGAUUGUGCAGUGGGAGGAGCCGGUGGAGCCCAACGGCCUGAUCCGCGGCUACCGCGUCUACUACACCAUGGAACCGGAGCACCCCGUGGGCAACUGGCAGAAGCACAACGUGGACGACAGCCUGCUGACCACCGUGGGCAGCCUGCUGGAGGACGAGACCUACACCGUGCGGGUGCUCGCCUUCACCUCCGUCGGCGACGGGCCCCUCUCGGACCCCAUCCAGGUCAAGACGCAGCAGGGAGUGCCCGGCCAGCCCAUGAACCUGCGGGCCGAGGCCAGGUCGGAGACCAGCAUCACGCUGUCCUGGAGCCCCCCGCGGCAGGAGAGUAUCAUCAAGUACGAGCUCCUCUUCCGGGAAGGCGACCAUGGCCGGGAGGUGGGAAGGACCUUCGACCCGACGACUUCCUACGUGGUGGAGGACCUGAAGCCCAACACGGAGUACGCCUUCCGCCUGGCGGCCCGCUCGCCGCAGGGCCUGGGUGCCUUCACCCCCGUGGUGCGGCAACGCACGCUGCAGUCCAUCUCGCCCAAGAACUUCAAGGUGAAAAUGAUCAUGAAGACGUCAGUUCUGCUCAGCUGGGAGUUUCCUGACAACUACAACUCACCCACACCCUACAAGAUCCAGUACAAUGGGCUCACACUGGAUGUGGAUGGCCGUACCACCAAGAAGCUCAUCACGCACCUCAAGCCCCACACCUUCUACAACUUUGUGCUGACCAAUCGUGGCAGCAGCCUGGGCGGCCUCCAGCAGACGGUCACCGCCUGGACUGCCUUCAACCUGCUCAACGGCAAGCCCAGCGUCGCCCCCAAGCCUGAUGCUGACGGCUUCAUCAUGGUGUAUCUUCCUGACGGCCAGAGCCCCGUGCCUGUCCAGAGCUAUUUCAUUGUGAUGGUGCCACUGCGCAAGUCUCGUGGAGGCCAAUUCCUGACCCCGCUGGGUAGCCCAGAGGACAUGGAUCUGGAAGAGCUCAUCCAGGACAUCUCACGGCUACAGAGGCGCAGCCUGCGGCACUCGCGUCAGCUGGAGGUGCCCCGGCCCUAUAUCGCAGCUCGCUUCUCUGUGCUGCCGCCCACGUUCCAUCCCGGCGACCAGAAGCAGUAUGGCGGCUUCGAUAACCGGGGCCUGGAGCCCGGCCACCGCUAUGUCCUCUUCGUGCUUGCCGUGCUUCAGAAGAGCGAGCCUACCUUUGCAGCCAGUCCCUUCUCAGACCCCUUCCAGCUGGAUAACCCGGACCCCCAGCCCAUCGUGGAUGGCGAGGAGGGGCUUAUCUGGGUGAUCGGGCCUGUGCUGGCCGUGGUCUUCAUAAUCUGCAUUGUCAUUGCUAUCCUGCUCUACAAGAACAAACCCGACAGUAAACGCAAGGACUCAGAACCCCGCACCAAAUGCCUCCUGAACAAUGCCGACCUCGCCCCUCACCACCCCAAGGACCCUGUGGAAAUGAGACGCAUUAACUUCCAGACUCCAGAUUCAGGCCUCAGGAGCCCCCUCAGGGAGCCGGGGUUUCACUUUGAAAGCAUGCUUAGCCACCCGCCAAUCCCCAUCGCAGACAUGGCGGAGCACACGGAGCGGCUCAAGGCCAACGACAGCCUCAAGCUCUCCCAGGAGUAUGAGUCCAUCGACCCUGGACAGCAGUUCACAUGGGAACAUUCCAACCUGGAAGUGAACAAGCCGAAGAACCGCUAUGCCAACGUCAUCGCCUAUGACCACUCCCGUGUCAUCCUCCAGCCCAUUGAAGGCAUCGUGGGCAGUGAUUACAUCAAUGCCAACUAUGUGGACGGCUACCGGCGUCAGAACGCGUACAUUGCCACGCAGGGGCCGCUGCCUGAGACCUUUGGGGACUUCUGGCGUAUGGUGUGGGAGCAGCGGUCGGCGACCAUCGUCAUGAUGACGCGGCUGGAGGAGAAGUCACGGGUGAGCCUUGGACCCCACGGCCCUCAAGCCCCUGCCAGCCAGCCUGUCCCUGCUGACACCUGUUCUCUUGCCCAAUACAGAUCAAGUGUGAUCAGUAUUGGCCCAACAGAGGCACGGAGACCUACGGCUUCAUCCAGGUCACGUUGCUAGACACCAUCGAGCUGGCCACAUUCUGCGUCAGGACAUUCUCUCUGCACAAGAAUGGCUCCAGUGAGAAACGCGAGGUCCGCCAGUUCCAGUUUACGGCGUGGCCGGACCACGGCGUGCCCGAAUACCCAACGCCCUUCCUGGCUUUCCUGCGGAGAGUCAAGACCUGCAACCCGCCAGAUGCCGGCCCCAUCGUGGUUCACUGCAGUGCCGGUGUGGGCCGCACAGGCUGCUUUAUCGUCAUCGAUGCCAUGCUUGAGCGGAUCAAGCCAGAGAAGACAGUCGAUGUCUAUGGCCACGUGACGCUCAUGAGGUCCCAGCGCAACUACAUGGUGCAGACGGAGGACCAGUACAGCUUCAUCCACGAGGCCCUGCUGGAGGCCGUGGGCUGUGGCAACACAGAAGUGCCCGCACGCAGCCUCUAUGCCUACAUCCAGAAGCUGGCCCAGGUGGAGCCUGGUGAACACGUCACUGGCAUGGAACUCGAGUUCAAGCGGCUGGCUAACUCCAAGGCCCACACGUCACGCUUCAUCAGUGCCAAUCUGCCUUGUAACAAGUUCAAGAACCGCCUGGUGAACAUCAUGCCCUAUGAGAGCACACGGGUCUGUCUGCAACCCAUCCGGGGUGUGGAGGGCUCUGACUACAUCAACGCCAGCUUCAUUGAUGGCUACAGGCAGCAGAAGGCCUACAUCGCGACACAGGGGCCGCUGGCGGAGACCACGGAAGACUUCUGGCGCAUGCUGUGGGAGAACAAUUCGACGAUCGUGGUGAUGCUGACCAAGCUGCGGGAGAUGGGCCGGGAGAAGUGUCACCAGUACUGGCCGGCCGAGCGCUCUGCCCGCUACCAGUACUUUGUGGUAGAUCCGAUGGCAGAAUACAACAUGCCUCAGUAUAUUCUGCGAGAGUUCAAGGUCACAGAUGCCCGGGAUGGCCAGUCCCGGACUGUCCGGCAGUUCCAGUUCACAGACUGGCCGGAACAGGGUGUGCCAAAGUCGGGGGAGGGCUUCAUCGACUUCAUUGGCCAAGUGCAUAAGACUAAGGAGCAGUUUGGCCAGGACGGCCCCAUCUCUGUCCACUGCAGUGCCGGCGUGGGCAGGACGGGCGUCUUCAUCACGCUUAGCAUCGUGCUGGAGCGGAUGCGGUACGAAGGCGUGGUGGACAUCUUUCAGACGGUGAAGAUGCUACGAACCCAGCGGCCGGCCAUGGUGCAGACAGAGACGGAGUCUCGCCCAGGCUGGAGUGCAGUGGCUCGAUCUCGGCUCACUGCAAGCUCCGCCUCCCGGGUUCACGCCAUUCUCCUGCCUCAGCCUCCCGAGUGGCUGGGACUACAGGAUUGAGGCCAUCAAGCUACAGAUGAUCUUACAAAUGGAACCCCAAAUGAGCUCAACUAACAACUUCUACUGAGGACCCCUGGACCAACCUGCUGGCCCUUUCACUGGCCUAAACAGUUCCCCUCUGGAGGACACCACAACUGCAGGGCCCCUUCUUCGCCCCUAUCCAGCAGGAAGUAGCUAGAGCAGUCAUCGCCCAAUUCCCAACAGCAGUUGGGGUGUCCUGUUUAGAGGGGGGAUUGAGAGGUGAAGUCAGCUGGACUUCCUGGGUUGAGUGGGAACUUGGAGAACUUUUCUGUCUUACAAGAGGUUUGUAAAAUGCACCAAUCAGCACUCUGUAAAAAUGCACCAAUCAGCGCUCUGUAGCUAGAGGUUUGUAAAAUGCACCAAUCAGCACUCUGUAAAAUGGAUCAAUCAGCACUCUGUAAAAUGGACCAAUCAGCAGGACAUGGGCAGGGACAAAUAAGGGAAAAAAUUGGCCAGCCCAGGCAGCAGCGGCAACCUGCUCGGGUCCCCUCCACGCUGUGGAAGCUUUGUUCUUUUGCUGUUCACAAUAAAUCUUGCUCCUCGCUUUUUGGGUCCGAGACACCUUUAAGAGCUGUAACACUC
RNAcentral lists this small RNA (5522 nucleotides) under Pan troglodytes (chimpanzee). RNAcentral's name for it is "processed transcript". The record is from RNAcentral. Lineage: Eukaryota; Metazoa; Chordata; Mammalia; Primates; Hominidae.